AACAAACUAAGUUUGACCUCAAAUCAGGUAAGAAUACCCGCUGAACUUAAGCAUAUCAAUAAGCGGAGGAAAAGAAACCAACAGGGAUUGCCUUAGUAGCGGCGAGUGAAGCGGCAAUAGCUCAAAUUUGAAAUCUGGCACCUUCGGUGUCCGAGUUGUAAUUUGAAGAAGGUAUCUUUGGUUUUGGCUCUUGUCUAUGUUCCUUGGAACAGGACGUCACAGAGGGUGAGAAUCCCGUGCGAUGAGAUGCCCAAUUCCAUGUAAAGUUCCUUCGACGAGUCGAGUUGUUUGGGAAUGCAGCUCUAAGUGGGUGGUAAAUUCCAUCUAAAGCUAAAUAUUGGCGAGAGACCGAUAGCGAACAAGUACUGUGAAGGAAAGAUGAAAAGAACUUUGAAAAGAGAGUGAAAAAGUACGUGAAAUUGUUGAAAGGGAAGGGCUUGAGAUUAGACUUGGAAUUUUCCAUUUAUGGAGCUUUCCGGGCCAGCAUCAGUUUGGAUGGCAGGAUAAUUGCGUUGGAAAGUAGCACCACUUCGGUGGUGUGUUAUAGACUUCGUCGAUACUGCCUAUCUAGACUGAGGACCGCG
This 584-nucleotide ribosomal RNA is filed under the name Yamadazyma membranifaciens. Its description in RNAcentral is "eukaryotic LSU rRNA". It matches the Rfam family "Eukaryotic large subunit ribosomal RNA", at positions 1 to 555 of the family's 3401-position model. The record is from RNAcentral. Lineage: Eukaryota; Fungi; Ascomycota; Pichiomycetes; Serinales; Debaryomycetaceae.